UGAGGUUGAGGUUUGUGAGGAUGUCUGGACUUGUCUAUAAGGAAUGAUGAAGAGCCCACAGCAGCAGCAGCAGCAGCAGCAGCUCUGCUCUGUCAGAAGCUCAUGAACUGUAACUUUGCUGAAUCUGCAGCCGUUUCACUCUGUAUUCAUCUGAUCCUGCUCUGACAUGUUGGUCCAACCCUGGAGAAAUGAAGUGGUUCUGAUUUAAUGUGUCUCUUUUAAUGUGAUGAAUUUGCAUUUAGUGCAUCUGCUGCCAAUUUGAAACCGAGUCUGAGAAAUCCCCCACACCUCCUGAAGCAGACUGACAGACUCGGGUUCAGGCUGCAGCUGGAGCUGUUUUUAUCUCCUUAAAUCUCUCUCAUCCUUUUGUGUCGAUGAAGGAGUCAGUUUGGCAUCCCUGAACAUCCUGCUCUGACUAUUCUGAGUCCCUCUGUUGGACUUGUUGUCAUCCUUGAGGUUAUUUUGAACUUUGAACAACUUUGAGGCACCCUGAAACCAUUGUGCAUCCCUGAACGUGUUCUUCAUCCCUUAGCUGACAGUUAGCAUCCUUAAACAGUUUCAGUCCUGGUUGUUGUCAUGCUGGUGUGUUUCCCUCCUCAUGCAUGGUCAUUGUCUGGCGUACGGCGCCCCCCUGACCUCCAGAUCCUCAGGUCAGGUAUCCCUCCCUGCAUCUGCACUCUUGUCCCGGCUUGUUUUUGGGUCUAAAGUUGGUCUUUGGCAGAUCUUCUAAAGGCUUAAUAUUCAGGAUCAGAGUUAAGCAUUGAGGCUCAUGCAGGUGAAAGAAGCUGCUUGUGCAGGUGCUUGUCAGUGUGUUGUUGUUGUUGUGUAGCUCUCUUGGUUGAGUGUGUGUUUGUCUUUGUGUGUAAGGUGGUAAUUUGCGGUCGGCUCAGAUUUUCCCCUCUUCAGGGCUUGUUGGUUCCUCCUGUGGAAACAACAGAGACUCUUUAUCCGUACCGCCUCAUUUUAGCGGGCUGUGGUUGUCUGCUCUCUCUCUCACACACACACACACACACACACACGCACACACACACACACAGACAUGCUGACAUUUAGGCAUGCCCUCAUAUACAUGUAGAGACAGAGUAUGUGCAGAGAGGAUCUAAUAAACUCUGCAGAAGAAUUCAGGCUUGUGCAUGAGAAGCAGCUUUAGGUGAAGCAUUGUUCUGCUUCUUUUGUGUAUCUUAGACGACUCUUCAACAAACACAUGACAGUUUGAGUCCCAGUACCAGAGCUGGAGAGUGAAGAUCUCUCUCUGACACUCCUCAUGGCUGUGAAAUCUUCCACUCUGCUGUUUUUUUAUUACCUUCAGCUGCAGAGAUGUGAACAUUUACGAAGAGCUUUCACUGACUUUGCACAUAUUUCACUGGAGUAUGGAAACCGAACUGAUGGGAACAAGAAUGACAAUAAAAACAAGAGUGAAUUUAUUCAGUUCAGCUCCUCAUGAGGUCACUCUCUGAAAGAGCUUUUAUUGUGCCUCAAAAACAUAACAGUCCCUGAAACUGAAUAAUGAAGUCCAGAAAAAGAACCGGUCCUGUCUUUGGAAAAGGGACUCGACCAUAUAAGGAGAUUCCUGUCAACCCCGGAGCGUCAUUAUUGGCUGAUUUACUGCCUAACAGUGUCAGAGAAAGUUAAGGUGGAUGUUUCCUUGGAGUAAAUCACCAAAUGAACAUCAUGAUAGUUUAUAAUAUCUCUGCUCCUCUGUGUUGACACAACACGUGAACGCUCUCUGACGGCGUCUCUCCUGGGUGGGCGAGCAGUCCCUGUUUCCUGAUAUAUGAGGCUGUAUUUCAUCAGAGCAGAUCAUAAAUGAGUCUUAUAGAAACAGAGGAGAGUGAGGAGCUGUGUUUGUGGGUACAGGAUGUAAACUCUGAGAUAAUUCAGCGGAUAUUUACUCCAUAAUCACAUCAGAGGGAAAUGUUGGUGAAGUUUUCUGUCAGGGUUUUACGGCCUGUUUUUUCUGCCUGUCUGAACACGAGUCAGUUUCUGAUCAUAAAGUGUAAAAAUAACUCCUGCAGGAGAACAAAGUGAUGCUGGUUUAUUUUAAUGACUAAAGAAAAGUUUAAAUUCAUUUACAGUCUGUUUAAGUACAGAUAUAUAAGGACAGACUCUUCUGUGCAGUAAAUAUUGACCCUCAAAUAUAAUCCAGACUAGUAGGGAUUAAACUCGACUGAUCCAAACUGAACUAACCUGGACUUUAGGAGUUAGACUCAGUUUUACUCAGACUGAUCUCAUUUUAGAUCAUUUAAAGAGACUUCACUUUGUCAGACUGGAGCUCAUUUUCAUGUUUUCACCUGCACAGAUCAUUGAGUCACUUCUUCUUCUCAUUAUUAUCAGGAUGAUUAUUGUGUUCAGAGUCUCAGUUCCACUCUCUGAUCUGCUUGAAUCUGUUUUGAAUGAAAUCACAAAGUCUGAAAACAUGUUUGAGUUGAAGGUCUGAUCAUUUGUCUGUGAGCGUCUCUGAAAGAGUUAAAGGCUGUGAUGAAGACUCGGACUGUAAACGGGUCUGUGUUCAUUCACUUCAUGAGGGUCUGACUGCAGGUUGUUGUGAUGUUGGGUUUUAUCUUGAUUAUAUCUUGUUUGAGAAAAACAAAUGUGAUCAUCACAGGUGUGACGUGUGAAGCUCUUGGACUGACUUGUGUUGUUCCUGCUGGACUCCAAUGUCUCAUUGUCACGUCUCUUUAAUCAGUCUUGACGUUAUAUUAGCUCCGCCCAUGAGCAGAUUAAAGGUUGGGCAUGAAGGUCUGCAGGUCUGGAGGUGUUGGACUCUGGUCUUCAAAGAGCUUCUGUGGGCGUGAGUCUGCUCUUUGUCCUCGAAUCUGGCGUCUCUGGAGCUGACCUUACACUUCUGUCCUGACUUGUUUUAAUUUUGUCACACAGUGAAAUCGAAUGUUAUUGAUAGGAUUAUGUAUUUAUUAAGGCUGUCAAAGUUAACGCGUUAUUGUCGCGUUAACUCGAGUGACUUUUAUCGCCACUAAUUUUUUUGACGCACGAUUAACGCAAGCCUUAGCCUGGCUUGACCAAUGACUAGACAUAUGAAUUACCUUGUAGGACCACCAUUACCAUGAAAAUCCACGAUCUGUUCUCAUGUUGAUUCUUAUGUUGAUAAAAGUAUACCAAUUUGAAAAAGAUCAAUUUAGAAUGGAUCAAAAAUAUGCGAUCAAUUUGCGAUUAAUCAUGAUUAAUCAUGAUCACAAUUCGAUUAAUCGCGAUUAAAUAUUUUAAUCGAUUGACAGCCCUAGUAUUUAUGUGUUUAUUGACCAGGAGAGGACCAAGAAGAGUCCUGCAAACUUUUGGUCAAACAUCUAGAAGAUGAGAUCAGUGUUUAUUUUUUAGCCUAAGUUAGAAAAGACGCUCUAAAAAACCAGUUUAAUCCAGUUUGCAUUAAAAUCAAUGACUUUUCUUGUUGCUUAUUGAGGCACAAAGUGUUUCAGUUUGGAUAUUAUUGUAACACUGAGAAUGAUCGUUGUUUUAUUGAUCAGUCUGCAGAUUUGAUUGAUUAUUUGAUCGAUGUGAGAGUCCGUUAAGUCUGAGAAAAGUGAGAAAAUGAAGCGGAGCGUUAAACUCAGUUCACGUCAAAGAAAGAGCGUGUCAAAGAUGGCCGCUCGGUCUGAGGUGCAGUGGGUGAAGUUUAGCCCCUCUGGGUGUUUGUCUCCUCAGGUCGCCUCCUCUAAACAAACUCCCGGCACUCCUCUUCUUCACCUCCCAUUUCAUCUAUAAUUACAGCUUUUUAUCCUGCGAGCGUCUCAGACUCAUCAGCCGGAGCAGACUGUGACAUGAAAGCUCUUUUACAGCUCCAGUGAUCCCGUCAGUGUGAGCUCAGGGCUGUAAAAGCAGCUGUGGGUCUUUUCUACCUGCUCCAGGUCUGAAGGUGCGAUGAUCUCACGCUGACGGAGAGAGAGAGGAUGUUUGCUUUUCCAUCUUUUUCUGUGUGGCGCCUAUCUGAUCCUCCAUCUUGACUGCUGGGUCAGCAGCAGGUUCCUCUCUGUCACUGGGGAAUGCUUUGUUUUCCCAGCUGCACAUACUGGUGGCUUUCAAGUGGUGAAAAUGGUGAUAAUGGCGGCUGUGGUUCUGCUUCUCCCACCUGCUCGCCUCUUCAAGAUCUAAUCAGGACAAUGUUUCCAAAAUAGCGGGCCGAGGAAAGGGUUAAUUCUGGCUCGGUUUGGAGAUGGUGGCCGAGGUUAGAGCUUUGGGUUUGUGCCGAAACUAUGAAGACGAGCGGUGUGUGAUAAAAACAUCAAAGUCCUUCACCCAGUCCUUCAGAAACACCACUGAGACCCGUUUAGUCUAACUUCUCUGCAGGCUAAACUUUACUCUAAACUUCCCUCAACCUGAACCACAGUCUUUGUCAACUUUUCCAGCCGGGUUUCGACAUGUUCCCGUGUUGCACAUCCCAGUCAGUGUUGCCACACUCGCUCCAAUCCUCCGGAGGGAACUGGACGGCUGCCAGAGACUGCAGAGAGGCCGUGAAGUCUCAGCAGACUGACUCAGGAGGCUGUUAAUCAGAGAGAGCGAAGGAGAGGCUCUUAGUGGAGUGACUGACAUUUAGGAGGUGGAUGGAGUUAUUGAUUUGGCAGCAGGAGUUUCCGUCCAGAUCGAACUCUUGUCUUUGUAAAUGAAAAUGAGUGAAUAAACUUUGAUGUUAGUUCAGGGUGAAGAGAAGACUUGGUUGAUCUCUGGUCUUAAAUGUGAAAGCUUCUUGAAUUGCAUGAAGAUUGAAUCCAGACAUGUGGACCAUGAAGGUCUGAUUGAGAGCAGCUCCGGGGUCUUUGUGUGGAGGGUACAGUAGCCGCUCUGUGGGAGUCUCUGCGGUUUUCGAUCCUCAGUUUCCCUCUUCAUGACUCACUGGGAGCUGAACCGGGUCAUGAACAGGACCUGCCCUCUGGUCUAAUAUCUGCAGCAGGAAUUUGAAGUGAAGCCUGGAGUUAGGAGGCCUUCACACUCCACUUGAAUGUCACAUCUCUUCAGGCUCAUGCUGUAAAAAUGUUCCUCUGACAGAUGAGAUCAGCAGGUAAAGACGAACACCGAGGAGGAGGAGGAGGAGGAGGAGGAGGAGGAGGAGGAGGAGGACCCUUUGGAGUCUAAAUGACCUUUAAUUACUGAAAAACCGCUUUAAUUACUUUAAUUUCUGCUGUCAGUCACGCCGUUAGAGGAGGCGUCAAACUUCCUCGCCUUGGAACAAAACUUCUCUCUUCCUACAGUCCCCACUAAACUUUUCUCCCAUGAUUCUUCACUGCCUGAUUUCUGACACAAACGUCCUCUUUCACGUUGAGGAUCCUCCAAACAACGGCCCGACUGUCUCGUCCUCCAGCACCCGUCUUCUUUAAUGAAUCGUGCAUUGAGGCCCGACAACCGAACCGUCUCACACCCUCUUGUCUGAAAAUGCUUUUGUCUGUGUGUGCCAAAAAUCCCACUUCGACAUACCGCAGGGGGGAAGGAUUCAGGGGGAGGAGGGAAGGAGGGAAGGAGGGAAGGAGGGAAGGAGUCAUGGGUGUUGAUUUCUGGCAGGACGCCUCACAGAGAAGCUUAUUUGCUUCUUCGCUGUAAAGAAUUUGAGUAAUUCAAUAACUGGAAAGUUCAGAUUGAAAUCAGACCGCCGUGUUGAUGAUUGACUGCAGAGAUUUAAACUAAAUCCACAUUUAUUUAGAGCAGAUUUGGUGAACAGUCAGGACAUCUCUCUUUCUUCUGUUGUAGCUCAAACUGUCAGACAGCAGGUGGCAGCGUUUCACCGCUGCAGCAGAAACAAACAGAGAUUAGCUGCACAAAAUAAAGUCUGUUUAACAUCCGCAAAAGUCACUUUGUGUUUGUCAUCAUCAUUAUUAUAUUAUUAUUAUUAUUAUUAUUAUUAUUAUUAUUAUUAUUAUUAUUAUUUUAUUAUUAUUAUUAUUAUUAUUAUUAUUAUUAUUAUUAUUAUUAUUUUUAUUUUUAUUAUUAUUAUUUUUAUUAUUAUUAUUAUUUUUUUAUUAUUAUUAUUUUUAUCAUUAUUAUUAUUAUUAUUAUUAUUAUUAUUAUUAUUAUUAUUAUUUUAUUAUUAUUAUUUUUAUCAUUAUUAUUAUUAUUAUUAUUAUUAUUUUUAUUAUUAUUGUUUUUAUCAUUAUUAUUAUUAUUAUUAUUAUUAUUAUUAUUAUUUUUAUUAUUAUUAUUUUAUCAUUAUUAUUAUUAUUAUUAUUAUUUAUUUAUUUAUUUUUUAUCAUUAUUAUUAUUAUUAUUAUUAUUAUUAUUAUUUUUAUUAAAGUUUUUAAUGAAGGUUAUUUCUGCAGUAUUCAGUCAUUUUUAAGCUGCAAACAUAAAUCUAAACCAAAGAGGAGGACUGAGUAACUGAGGUUCGACCUCUUCAGCCUCUGCUCUGCUGCCAUCUGCUGCUUCACGGAGGAACUGCAAGUCCACAAGUUUACACACAAAACACCAAACUUAGAAGGUGAAGUGAGCAAAUCUCCUCAGCCUGUAACAGUGUGGAGUAAAACACAGAAUAUUCCUCUAACAUACUUUUGUUCUGCGUUAAAGUCGUCGACAUUUGAGUUCAUUUCCAGUUUUUUAAGCUGCUGUCAUGAUUGCUGUGUGAGCAGUUAUUAAAAAAUGUCCAUAUUUGGGAUUAAAUGAGGAGGAGGAGGAGGAGGAGGAGGAGGUUUAUGAUGGAGCUGUGAGGCAGAUAAAAUCAGAGUGGUCAACUUUGCAGAGCGCAGACCUCCAACGUAAAAGUCAGAUAUUUGAUUUCCUUAUUGGACCUCCUAAAGUCUGUACCGACUCAGAGUUUGUGUGUGUGUGUGUGUGUGUGUGUGUGUGUGUGUGUGUGUGUGUGUGUGUGUGUGUGUGUGUGUGUGUGUGUGUGUGUGUGUGUGUGUGUGUGAGCUCAUGUUCCCGGGCCCAGCAGCAGCCUCUUCUCUUCUUCUUCUUCU
Molecule: non-coding RNA, 6893 nt
Organism: Xyrichtys novacula (pearly razorfish)
Lineage: Eukaryota; Metazoa; Chordata; Actinopteri; Labriformes; Labridae
Source: the annotation of a GenBank genome assembly